GCCGAUAUAGCUCAGUUGGCAGAGCGGCGCAUUCGUAAUGCGUAGGUCGCAAGUUCGAAUCUUGCUAUCGGCACCA
RNAcentral lists this transfer RNA (76 nucleotides) under Gammaproteobacteria bacterium. RNAcentral describes it as "tRNA-Thr". It matches the Rfam family "tRNA". From Rfam's summary of the family: Transfer RNA (tRNA) molecules are approximately 80 nucleotides in length. Their secondary structure includes four short double-helical elements and three loops (D, anti-codon, and T loops). Lineage: Bacteria; Pseudomonadati; Pseudomonadota; Gammaproteobacteria. The record is from RNAcentral. RNAcentral also lists the same sequence under 1 other name.